Molecule: non-coding RNA, 296 nt
Organism: Vicugna pacos (alpaca)
Lineage: Eukaryota; Metazoa; Chordata; Mammalia; Artiodactyla; Camelidae
Source: RefSeq, a predicted model, not a curated record
GAUGUCCAUGGGUUUGGACAAACGUGUGAUGACACAUAUCCAUCAUUACAGUAUUAUACAGAGUACUUUCACUGUCCCCCAAAUCCUCUGUGCUCUGCCUACUCACCCCUCCCAUCCCCAACCCCUGGCACUUCUGGUCCUUUCACUUUCUCUAUAGUUUUGCCUUUUCCCAUGUCAUACGGUUGGAAUCGUACAGUAUGUAGCCUUCUCAGGUUGGCUUCUUUAUCUUAGUAACAUGUACUGAUGGUUCCUCCAUGUCUUUUCAUGGCGUGAUACCUCAUUUCUCUCUAGUGCUG